GGUGAUUGAACCUUUAGACUUGAACUAGUUUCUUUUGUGGGUCGUGAAAACAUUGUUUAGAAAUAACCAAAAGUAGAAAAUCGAGUUAGACUCAAAACUAAAUAAUUUAACAGAAAUUCCUCAUAAUACUGAGAGCACUGAGCUCGAAUUCUGUAUCAGCAAUUAUCCAAGAUAUGCUUAUCUCAUUAAACAGGUUUCAACUUCCUUGUGCUAAAUGCAUCUUACUUCCACUCUCUUUAGUUUUUAUAUUUGGUUUCUUGAUAUAAACGCAAAAAGCAAAGUGUUCUCCUCCUAAUUCUUUUCCUCGUUAUCUAUAUUUGAUACCCCUUUCUUGAUUCAGGUUAAUGCGAGCCCAUACGAAAAUGGGUGGAUUAUAAAGGUGGAGAUGAGUGACACCGGUGAAUUAAAUUCUUUGAUGGACUCAGAACAGUACACCAAGUUUUGUGAAGAAGAAGAUGCCAAGCAUUGAGUGAGGUACUCUAGGCACCUUAUGGAAACUGGAAAGAGCUUUUUCAUGGACAAGUGAUCAUUUCUAAAAGGAAGCCAGAGGGUGGGCUUUUUUUCUUCUUGGCAUUUUUGUCCAUUGUGCUUUCAACUGUGCACUCCUUUUAUGUCUUUCCUUACAAGCUAUAAAUUCCGGUGAUUUUGAACAGAACAUUUCUGUCUGGAUUAAGAAUAAUUGUUCAUGUUGGCAUUUAAUCUCCCAUUGGCAUGCUAACAAAUUUCACAUUUGAGAAUUUUUUCUUUUUGCUGAAGCCCUUCACCUCUCAGAGAAGCAUUCAAUUUCCUAUUAUUUAUGUGGGUGACUUUAAGUUCUGUUGGGCAUUAAAGCUGUUUGGUCUGUGGAUAGUCCUACUCUCACUAAGAAUAAUUUUUAAUUGUUGGUACGAAUGGCCGUAAACCCAACAACAAUCUUGUUUCAUUAGGCUUCUAAAUGUCUUAUUCUACUGGCUUUCCAUUUCUUGAUGAAGCCCUUCACCUCUCUGGUAAGUAUUCAAUUUUAUAUCACCUAUUUGGGACCUUAUGUUUUCUUGGGCAUUAAAGCUACUUGGUCUCCCGAUGGUUGACUCUCACCAAGAAUAGAUGUGUUCUUAUAUUUUAUAAUAUGCUUAUAUGAUUGGCUGUAAACCCAAAACCAACUAGUUGUAUUUGGUUUCUAAAUGAUGACUUCUAAUGCUCAUACACCCUCAUCUGGUCAGUUUGUUAUCUUACUCUCAUACUCCCUCAUUAUGUCCCUUGUGAAUCAAGCAUCACAAGCAAACAUCUUCAGGCUAUCAAAUGCAUUCCAUGGUGCUUUGUAAGGCUUCUUUAGUACUGUAAUUAUUCUUUAUCCUGUCUCUAUAUCCUGUAUGUGUUUUUUAGCUGCCACUUUGUUGGGUACCCUUAUGAUCCCCAACAAUUUAUACACAAACCUAGCAUUAAAUAUCGUAUCCUGGAAGUCAAGGAACCAGCCUACAGUCUCUGGUGCAGUUUGUUUGGGAAUUAUAUUCUUCAUGUUAAUUUUGCCCUCUCCAAUUGCUUAACUUGCCGAUAUCUGCAAAUAAAUAUUUGUCAGCCUUUUCCCUUUAGCAUUGCCCUAUAUCCUAAUGGUUUUCCGAGUAGAAAUACCAUAAUCAAUCCACAUCUCUGAUAUCUAGGACCAUUCUGAGGCUCAAAUCUUUCCGUAUAGGGUCAGGUGACCUCCAACCAUUGUAUUGACAUUCUCUCCUCUACUUUUUCUAGUUUUAAGAGUACAAAUAAGUAACACUAAUCAGGUCUGGCCAUAGAAUAGAAACCAAGCCACAUUCUAUUCAUAGGCAUGCAGAAUAGUGAAACUUCACCCUUAUAUGAAGCCAUGUCUUCUAUCAUACAAAUGUGUAAAUUACUGGGACAUUCCUGGAGCAACCGGCAAUUUGUUAGAUAUGCAACUGUUAAUGCAGUGAUACUGUCUGUUGACUCUGUUCUGUGUGUUUAUGCAUGUGUAUGAGGCUCCAGUCAUAUGUGUUUUCUUCCAUUUGGAAAUUGUUUUUGGAAUACUUAUGUAUUUGCCUCAAUUUGGAAUCCAGUGAACUAGUAGGAAAAGGAGUACAAAUGAUGGCAUGAACAGGCUAUUUUAUUUUUUUCUUUUAAAAUUUCUAGGGAUAAAGCCUUACAAUGCUCAUAAUUCUGCAUUAUGUAAAUAAUUGAACGUUCUUGGGAUAGGGACAUGAAUCAUAAUAUGAUAAUAAUGUGAUAUAAUUGUAAGUUGAUAGAAAAAGUAGUAGCAGUCUGAAUCUGAGCAGCAACUAGGCUCUGGAAGACGGCAAGGUGGCAUCCGAGAGGAAAUGAGAGAAGAGAGCAAGGGACUGAGAAGGUGCAAGGAUGGGGACCUGGUGACCUGCACCUCUUACGGUUGCUAGUGUAAGGCCACCCUCAUAAGUCACCACCCAACCGGCCACUUGUUUCCUGUCGAACCAUGCCCUCCACUUUUGCUGAAUCCUUAACCCCAUCUUGUUUAUGCUGUACCUUGUUGAUGUCACUGGCACCCUCCCAUCUGUGUCCCCACUGUUUCAUCAUCACCAUCACUAUUUUUAUCAGUGUUAAUGAUACAAAAUAGUUUAUCUAUGUGUCCUGAAUGGAAGAAGCUUUUGUUUAGUAAUGAAAGUCUUAAGACAAAUUUUGAUUGGGUUAUGCUAUUAAUUUGGAGGUCUUUUUUUCUCCCUUGGUGUCUGAGUAUAAAAACUGCAGUGAAUGAUGUAAAUAGCAUUACUUGAUCAUGUAACAAUAUAAUAUGAAAAAAAAUACCACACUAAUUGAACUCUAAACUGGCUUUGAUGUUUCUUUUGGGGGAUGGGGUGCAGGUAGUUUGCCUCCGGAUUUCCUGUAGUUGAGAUAAAUGACUUUUUUUCAUUUACAAUCAAAGCAAAUAUGACAAAAAGGAGCUUUGAUAUCUCAUUUUUACCAACAGCUAAGAUAAGAAAAAAGGAGGGGGUGGAAAUUUGGUGUCUAUAGAGUGUACCUGUAGACCCAAAUGCGCAGACCAGCCUUUAAGAGCUUCUGAAUGGUGGGCAGCACGGUGUCUGGCGAAUCAUUCCACCUCCUAAUAACUUUACUGCAUACACACCCAACAAAAGAUAACUCACAACUCUACUCUGCCAAUAGUCCUUCCAAACAAAAUGCAUACUUUCACUAUUGUCCUUACACAUUUAAAGGUACGACAAACAAGGGAUAAACAACAAAUCUACAGUAUCAAAAGCUUUGUCAUCAUGUUAGAUUAUCUCAGUAUCAUUAGCCCCUAAGCUUACACGUACGGUAUAUUAAGCUGUGAAACAACCAAUGUUGUCUAAGCUCUGAGAAGAUUUACUUUAAUUACCAUUAAAUUCAUUCCUUGGUGUAGUUUCUACCAAUAAUUGGUUGUGGCUUAAAAGAGUAUAGAAAGUUGAUAUUUACUGAAAGAAGUAGCAGUUGCAAGUAUUAGGAGGUGGGUUUUUAAGUGCCAGAAAGAAAUGAAAAAGAGAGAUCGAGGAUCCCACUGCUAUGGUUCAUUAAAUUACUGACGGGAAAGCAGAGUGAAAGCUCUCCGUCAAAGGUUCCACAGUUGAGUAAAUGUUUGAAAGCUCUCCUUCGAAGGUUCCACAACUGUCUAGUAAAUGUUUCAAUGUCCUCCAAAUUAAAAGAUACCGCCAUCAUGUCUUUUUUCCUUUUCUACAUAAUGCAUACAUUUAUUGCAUGCUUCUGAAUAAAAAUGUAUGUAAAUAUAAGGGUAGAACUUAGAAUAAGUUCUUGUUCAAUGUGGCUGAAUGUUGUUCAUAAUUGAAUAUUUGUGUUUCAUUUGUUACUUACCUGCAUGUGGUGUAUGGAUAGGGGAGUUUGGUGACAUUGGCAUGAAGGGCCUUCUGAACAUCCUCCCUGUUGAAAUAUUUCUCAGCAUAAUCUUCUGUACAUGGAUCGUAUCCCGAUGGUAGCUGAUGCCAGAGGUCCUGAAAUCAAGAAAUCAACAAUACAUACACUUAAAUAACAUAUUCAGUUGGACUUCGAUUCUUGUAUUAAUGCUGCAUGAUUCAAAACAGAAAGCUAAGCUUCUUAUAGGACAUAGCAUCUUGCUCUUUUCCCAUUAAUUUCAUUAGUUAUCCUCUUGAAAAUGAAGAAUAAUCUUUUGUUUGUGAGACCCUUUAGGCAGAAGGCUCUAUAAUCCUGGAAAUUUUUUCAUAACACAGGACAGGGGAUUGGAGACAAGUCAACUUACGUGUUGUGCGAAGAGUCUUGGUGCAGUGACAAGUUUUCGGUAGGUUUCUUUGGAAGAACUGAGGCACACAGGUGUGUAAAUGCUAUACACGUCGAUAUCGAGAUAAGCCUCGAAGAAGCCCUCGACAUAUUUAAUGCAGAGGUUUGUAAGGUUGCCACUUUUGAAGUCGCAAUUCUUCAUUAUGCCAUGGUAGAUUUGGUCUGAUAUGAUUGCAUGACUCCAUGCGAACUCAAUGAGGCCCAUAUCGUCCGUUUCAUCAUUGAUUACUGCAUUCCCAAUCUGAUUAUCAAUCACAACCUUAAGUAAAUAGCAGUACUUAAUAAAAAUAUGACAGUCUCAUGAUCAUGAUCUUGAUAAGGGAGCGAGUAUCAGUUUAGUUGGUAGAUGAGGCAUAUAUACCAUGAAACCCUUGAGAUUAAUGUAAAAGUCUUUGCUGCUUCUUUUGUUCCUUUCAUAAAUGAGCUCAGCAAGCUGAGGAACAUAGUGACCUUAAAAGAAAGAGAGAAAGAGGUCAGUUUGGCUACAAAGAAUUAGGAAGAGAAAAAUAGGAAGAAAAAGGAGUUAUAGAUACCAGCAUAGCUCUCUCCAGUGAUGUAGAAAUCAUGGGUUUUGAGGCUGGGGAACCUCUUGAACCAUUGGACUAAGAAUGCAUGAGAAUCUUCAGCUGUGAUUCGAUCACCAAGCUUAAGUAAAUCCGAUGAUUUGUUCGUGUAUGAAAACCCUACUCCCACAGGUGCCUCCAGGAACAGAAUGUUUGCAACUGGAUGAUAUUGUAGUUAGAAAAUGAAGGUGAUCAGUACAAUUACACAUAAAUUGUUUUUGACUUCUUUUUCAUUUGAUCUAAAAGCUAAUUCAAAUCAUUGAUUAGAACAAUAGAAUGGACCGCCUUGAAUUGGUAGGCUACCUAACCUACCCCUAACUCUACACCAAACCCUCUUUCUCCAGGGCUCAUGGCUAAUCCAGAAGGAAAAUUUAUUGAAAUGAUUACCUUUGUUCCAGGAAAAAUCAUUAAGGAUAAGCUUAGUUCCGUUGCUCCUAACAAGAAACGGACCGAGUUCUUGUGCAGCUCCAUAAGCUAUGGAUGAGCAUCCAGGUCCUGCAAUAAGAAGAACAUUCUCUGAUAGGUAGAAAUAAGGUAAUGGAUAGUGAGUUUUGAUUGAGUUGUUGCAGCAAGCUUAGAUAUAUCAUGAGUUUUGCUUGAAUUUGUUUUCCUUUUAAGUGAGAGAUUUUUAUUAUCUUUCAGAGUUUCCAAGACGCUUCUGUUCCAAACCAGCCAAAUUUUCUCGGAUUCUGAAAGAAAAAGAUGAUUUGCAAAUUUGUAUUUCCUCUCAGUUGAAAUCCAACAGGAGGGCAUAUUUUAAAGCCAUUGAAGAAGAGAAAGAGACCCACAUGACAAAAAAAAAAGAAAAAAAAGAAAAAAGGAAGACAACAACAUCAUCAACCCCAUUUUUACCUCAAAAAUGGAGAAAACCCCACUUGCCAAUGAAAUUUCUUAUCUUAUCCCUGCAAACAAAUAACCCCCAUUUCUCCUUUUUAAGCACGAGUAGAAAGGACCCACAUUCCAUAAUCAACAACCCAGUGUGCAAAACAUAAAUUUUCUCACAUUUUCCCAGGAAAAUAAUGGUAAGGCUUGGUGGGUUCCACCCAGUUUUGGGUGCAUGCCUAGGGCCUGAACACAGACUACACAGUGAGGUGGACCUUCUCAGAAGGACAAAAGAGAAGGAAGGGGAUAACAUUAAGAAGAAAGUCCAACGCAAACACAUGAAAAAGGGGUUGACAGAAAAGAAAAGGACCAAAAAAAAAAAAAAAAAGCCAAGAUGAAGUGCGACGAAUCAAGUGGCUGACACCCCUGUGCAACGAUCCAUAUCUUAGGCUUCUGAUCCAACGGCUAUUAUUCCAUAUCUCCAAUCCAGUCAAACCCAAAAAUUAAAUACGUUUCAAAUCCAGAUAUAUCCAUUACACAGGUAUUUUUUAUAUGUGAAUACUUUUUUUAAUAAAAUAUUGACAAAAAAUAAUAAUUAUAAAGAUAAUUUGAGAUUUUAAAAAAUCAGAUUUUAUUUUUCGAUAUUACUUCUUUAUUUUCAAGUCUUUGACUCCUCAACAUAUAAAAAAAUAUAUAUCCGUAAAAUUCAAAAAAUCAGGUUUAGGAUGGUAUGCCAGAAAAAAUUGUGGAUUUGGAUAGCAGAGAAAGAAAUUAUGAAUGAAAAGUUAUGAAAGGUGAGAAUCACAGAGUUAUAGAAGCCGUUAGAGAUACAACAGAGGGAAUAUUCUCUCGUAUACGGUCAACGCUUUUUGAGCGUUGAGGGGACUCGCACCUUUUGCGGGCAACGCUGAGAGGACUCGAACCCCUAAAUUAAUAAAUAUUUUGCACCAAAUAUAUAUAUAUAUAUAUAUAUAUUAAAAGCUAUCAUAUAAAAAAUUACUUAAAAAACAAAUUAAUUAUAAUUAUUUUAUACUUAAAUACAAAAAUUCCAUUUAAUUGAUUAAUAAAAAUAUAAAAUUAUACAUUUAUCAUCAUUUAAUAUAAUUGAAUUAAAUAUAUCAUAAUUUAAUAUUAAAUAUAUUUUAAAAUUAAAUAUAUUAUAAUCAAAUAUCAUAAUAUUAAUUUAAUAAUUAAUACAUAUUUAUAAAAUUUAUAUUUUUUAAUCCACGUAUAUAAUAUUAUUAUCAAAUAUAAUAUAUUAUAUUAUAUAUAUAUAUAUAUAUAUAUAUAUAUAUAUAUAUAUAUCAUAAAAAAAAUUAAAAAAAUUUAUUAUAUUUAUAAUUUCAUUUCUAAGAGGUUUUUUUUUAUAUUUUUAUAAAUUUUAAUUAAAUUAAAUUUAAUUUUACUUAUAAUUUAUAUCAAAAUAUGGGUAGUCAUAUAUAUACAAAAAAAUUGAUCAUAAAUAGAAACUUGAUUUGAUAGUUCAACUAAAGAAAACAAAUCAGAAAAAAAAAAACCAAUAAAAUCAGUUAAUUAUGUUUUCUUCUUUCUUCGUAUGCAAAAUUAUAUCACAUAAAUAAAUAGCAAAAUUCCUUCUUCCUUUUUUUUUUCAGCAUCCAACUUCAAUUCACUUUUUCGUUCUGUGUUUUUCUACCUUUCCCUCUAGUUUCCUUUCAUCCAAACAGAAUCUUUAAAAUCUGGCAUUUUUCUUCAAAAUUAUUACAGAGGCGUGUGUAUCAGUGAUGAAAAAGACCAACAGAAAAGUUGUGAAAAUGAAGCAGUAAAUCUGAGAAAAUGGAUAAAUCGAGAGAGGAAGAAGAGAGAAGCGAGAAGAGAGACCUCCAUUGAGCCAAAGCACAAGAGGCUUUUCAAGAACACCGCCUUGGGCUUCAAAGAACCAGUAGAAGAGUGCUUUCUCGUCUUGUGGCCGGAGUUUCACGUACCCUGCGUAGUGCCGGAACUCCACCGCCGGCUGUCCCGGCAAAUCCUUAACUCUGUCUUUCUCUUGCUGUAAUUCCUCCGCUCCGGCCACCGAGGCAGCCGCCGUCAUCGCCUGUAGAACCAGACAGAAGAUCAGCCAGUUGCAGAGAGAAGACGCCAUUGAAACCAUUCUCCGUGCUCGCAGCCCUUCUCUCAGUCUACUUUAUAGACGAACAGCAGAGACAAUGAAGCACUAAUAAAGUUUCAUUUUAUUUUUUUUAAAUUCAUAAAAGUAACUGUAAAAACUGAAUUUUAUUGCUCCACUACUUCACUUACAAAAUUUUUCUAUCCCAACUUAUGUUUAUGGCAUUGAAGAAUGAACGAAGACACAACUCACAAGAAUUAUAAUUAAUAUUUUAUAAAUUUAAAUUAGAAUGAAAAAUUAUGAUUUUUUUUAAGUCUUGUUUGGGUAUCUUUUAGCACUAGAAUAAAUUAUUUUCUAUUUCAAAAAUAUUUUUGUUAAAAAAAAAGGAUAAUUAUGCAAUUUUAAAAUAUUUUAAUUAAAUAAAAAUCAGAUUUCCGCAUCUAAAUUAUGGAUUCUGAUUGAAAGUUGUAUUUAAACACUCCUAAAUUGCACUUGAACUUUAAAACAAUGCUUGUGGUUUUUUAAAAGCUCUUCCAAGUACAAAAUUAAUAUUAAUUUUUUUGGUCUUUUUCCUUUAUUUAUUGAAAAAAAAAGUGAAGUGAAUGUAAAAUUUGAAACGACUUUGUGUAAAUGGAUAUUGGAUAAACCCAUAAUAUAUUUUUAUUAUUAAUUAAAGUCCCAUUUAAUAGUGAUUUUAUAAAAUAUUUUUAAUUUUUCUAAUGCUUUAAGUUUUUUAUUAUUUAAGUAUUAAAAAUAUUUUAUAAAAUCAUUUUCAAAUGCACAGGAGAAUAAAAGGAGGGCAAGUGGAACCAAAGUAAGUAAAUUGAAUGAUAUAAUAUUUUAUUGGUCACAAGAUUUGUACAAAUGUUUUGGCUUUUUAAGACAGGGUUGCCAAUAGGAGCCUUCUCGUUUCGGAUUGUGGAUUAAUCCCACUUUUUUGAGUACCCAAAAAAUUAGGAAUCGUGUCAUCUUUUUGGGCAUUCAAAAUAGGGAAAAAGAAUAAGAAAAAAAGAAGGAAGGUCCAUUUUUUUGAGUGGUUUUUUUUUUGAUGUUGCAAAAUGAAAAAAAGAAAAAGAAAAAAAAAAGUUAGAGUCUACAAUUUAUUUUUUAAAAAAAUGGAUAGAGGGAAAAUGUUUUGUUUUUAAAUUUGAUUUAUCCAUAUUUUAAAAUUAUAAUAAAAUUAUGUUUUUUUAUUGGAAAUAUUUAUAAUAGUGUUUUAAGAAUAUAGUUGAUUGUACAAAAAUAUUUUUACUUCUUCAAUAAUUGAAAUGUAGGAGUUAAAAUAACAAAGGCUAAGUUUAAUACAAAAAAAUUUUGAAAUAAAUUUAUAGAUUAAGCUAAUUUUUAGAAAACAUUUCUAAUCUAAAAAUGAUUAAAAUAGUCCAUUUGGUGAUGAUUAUAAGAAGCGUUUUUAAGUUAAAAUGUGUUUUUGAAAAAAAAAAAAUGAGUGUUUGAUAAAAUUAAGGAAACAGAAAAAUGUUGAAAAGUCAAUUGUAAUGUUUUAUAGAAAAACACGUUAUAUAUGAUUUUCUAAAAAAAAAAUCAUUAAAAACACUUUGAGUAUAAAUACUAUCAAAUGCAAAAUGUUGGAUACAAUUUUAAAAAGUUAAAAAAUCACUUAUAUUUUUUAAGAAAUAUUUGAUAGGUGAUUAUUCAAAAAACAUUUAUAAUUUUUACUAAAAGUGCUUAAAAUAAAUUACUAUCAAUACUUGUAGAAAAUCCUUAUAGUUUAGAAAAUAUUUUUGAAUAAAAAAGAGAUAUUAAAUAAGAUUUAGAAAUUAAUUUUAAAAAAAUUAAAAAAUUCGCUUAUAGUAGUUUAUAAAAAACACUUAGAAAUGUGACUUUCCAAAAAUGUACUCUUAGAAAAUAAAUUUUUUACUAAAAACACUUCAAAUGAAAAUAAUGUUUAAAACGAGUUCAAAUUAAAAUAAUAUUUAAAAUGCGUUUGAUAAUGAUUUUAAUAAUAUUUUUAACCUUUUUGAUGUUGAAAAAUAAAAAUUUUCCAAGUGUAAAAAUUGCUAAAAACACUUUUUAAAAGCACCUUCAAAUGCAAUAAACACUCUAAAAGUGAUUUCAAUUUUAAAUUUCUUUUAAAGUAUUUUGUUUAUGAUUAUGACGUUAGUGACUCACAAAUAAAGAAUCUAUGAAUUUGAAUCAUGAUUGAUACUUGUGAGGCAGAGUCUUAACCAGUUAUCAUUUAAUGAAUUUAAAUCCAUGAUUGAUGGUUGUGAGGCAAAGUGUUAGCCAAUUCUACUUAACAUUUAAUGAAUUUGAAUCCCUCAACAAAGUCUUAGCCAAUUUGUCAUCUUUAAGAGAAAUCGUGUGAAUUAAUUCAAUACAUUUCUUUUCAAAAAUAGAAAUCUCACAACCCAAAAAUAUACUCCUAGAAAAUAUAUUUUUACUAAAAAUACUUCAAAUUAAAAUAAUGUUUAAAAUAUGUUUGACUUUAAUUUUAAGAAAUAUUUUUAAUCUUUAUAAUAUUAAAAGAUAAAAAAUUUCAAGUAUUAAAAAGAGUAAAAAUACUUCUUAAAAUCAUUUUCAAAUAGACACUCUAAAGUCAUUUCAAUUUUAUUUUUUUUGUAAUAUUUUGUUCAUGAUUACACAUCAGUGACCCACAAUAUAAAGAAUCUACUUAUCAUUUAAUGAAUUUGAAUCCAUAAUCGAUGGUGUUAAUGCAAAGUCUUAGUCAAUUUGUCAUUUUUGAGAAAACCGUGUGAAUUAAUUCAAUACAUCUUUUUCAAAAAUAGAAAUCUCACAACCAAAAUAUUCUCUUAGAAAAUACAUUUUUACUAAAAACACUUCAAAUUAAAAUAAUUUUUAAAAUAUGCUUGACAAUAAUUUUAAGAAAUAUUUAUAGUUUUUCUAAUAAUAAAAGAUAAAAAAUUUCAAAUAUUAAAAAAAAUAUUAAAAACAUUUCUUAAAAUCACUUUCAAACACACUAAACACUUUAGAGUCAUUUCAAUUUAAAAAAUUUUCUUUUAAAGUAUUUUGUUCAUGAUUAUGACAUCAGUGACCCACAAUAUAAAGAAUCUACUUAUCAUUUAAUGAAUUUGAAUCCAUAAUCUAUGGUUGCGAGGCAAAGUCUUAGUCAAUUUGUGAUUUUUGAGAGAAUUGUGUGAAUUAAAUCAAUACAUCUUUUUCAAAAAAAUUAAAAUUAAAAAAAAACUAAAAACAUUUCUUAAAAUCACUUUCAAAUGCACUAAACACUUUAGAGUCAUUUCAAUUUAAAAAAUUUUCUUUUAAAGUAUUUUGUUCAUGAUUAUAACAUCAAUGACCCACAAUAUAAAGAAUCUACUUAUCAUUUAAUGAAUUUGAAUCCAUAAUCUAUGGUUGUGAGGCAAAGUCUUAGGUGGUGUUUGUUUUUUUACUUAAUUCUAAAUAUAACCUUAAUACUUAAUAGUGUUAAAUAUUAAGUUGUUUAUUUUUAUAAUAUUUUAUUUUUAUUAAGUAUUAAAAAGUAAAGAAAAACCAAUAUGUUAUUUUUUCUAUUUAGAAAAAGUUACAUAUUUUGGAUUUUUUUAUUUAGUAAAAAUUUUAUAAUAAGUUAUGAAAAAGUAGAUAAACAAACAACCUAAAUUUUGAAAACAAUUUGUUUUCAGCAAAAAGCAAAAAAAAAAACAAACACCACCUUAGUCAAUUUGUCAUUUUUGAGAAAAUUGUGUGAAUUAAUUAGUACAUUUUUUUCAAAAAAAAAAAAGACUAAAAAUAUUUUUAAAAAUCACUUUCAAGCACAAAACACUUUAGAGUCAUUUCAAUUUUAAAUUUUUUCUUUUAAAGUAUUUUGUUCAUGAUUAUGACAUCACUGACUCACAAUAUAAAGAAUCUACUUAUCAUUUAAUGAAUUUGAAUUUAUGAUUGAUGGUUGUGAGGCAAAGUCUUAGCCAAUUUGUGAUUUUUGAGGGAUCCAUGUGAAUUAAUUUAGUACAUCUUUUUCAAAAAUUAUAAAAAUUUCAUAAUAAGUUAUGAAAAAAUAGAUAAACAAAUUACUUUAAGCAAAAAGCCAAAAAAACAAACACCAUCUUAGUCAAUUUGUCAUUUUUGAGAAAAUCGUGUGAAUUAAUUAGUACAUUUUUUUCAAAAAAAAAAAAAGACUAAAAAUAUUUUUUAAAAUCACUUUCAAAUGCACAAAACACUUUAGAGUCAUUUCAAUUUUAAAUUUUUUCUUUUAAAGUAUUUUGUUCAUGAUUAUGACAUCAAUGACCCACAAUAUAAAGAAUGUACUUAUCAUUUAAUGAAUUUGAAUUGAUGAUUGACGGUUGUGAGGUAAAGUCUUAGCCAAUUUGUCAUUUUUAAGAGAACCGUAUGAAUUAAUUCAGUACAUCUUUUUUAAAAAUUAUAAAAAUUUUAUAAUAAGUUAUGAAAAAGUAGAAAAACAAACAACUUAAAUUCUGAAAACAAACCGCUUUUAACAAAAAGCCAAAAAAACAAACACUAUCUUAGUCAAUUUGUCAUUUUUGAGAGAAUCGUGUGAAUUAAUUCAGUACAUCCUUUUCAAAAAAAAAAAAAAAGAAUAAAAAUAUUUUUUAAAAUCACUUUCAAACGCACAAAACACUUUAGAGUCAUUUCAAUUUUAAAUUUUUUCUUUUAAAGCAUUUUGUUCAUGAUUAUGACAUGAGUGACCCACAAUAUAAAGAAUAUACUUAUCAUUUAAUGAAUUUGAAUUGAUGAUUGAUGGUUGUGAGGCAAAGUCUUAGUCAAUUUGUCAUUUUUUAGAAAACUGUGUGAAUUAAUUCAGUACAUCUUUUUCAAAAAUUAUAAAAAUUUUAUAAUAAGUUAUGAAAAAGUAGAAAAACAAAUAAUCUAAAUUCUGAAAAUAAAUUGCUUUUAGCAAAAAGCCAAAAAAAACAAACACCACCUUAGUCAAUUUGUCAUUUUUAAGAGAAUCGUGUGAAUUAAUUCAGUACAUCUUUUUUUUAAAAAAAGACUAAAAAUAUUUUUUAAAAUCACUUUCAAAUGCACAAAACACUGUAGAGUCAUUUCAAUUUUAAAUUUUUUCUUUUAAAGUAUUUUGUUCAUGAUUAUGACAUUAGUAACCCACAAUAUAAAUAAUUUACUUAUCAUUUAAUGAAAUUGAAUUCAUGAUUGAUGGUUGUGAGGUAGAGUCUUAGCCAAUUUGUCAUUUUUGAGACAACCCUAUAAAUUAAUUCAAUACAUCUUUUUCAAAAAUAGAAAUCUUCUCGCCAAAAAUAUACUCCUAGAAAAUAUAUUUUUACUAGAAACACUUUAAAUUAAAAUAAUAUUUAAAAUGUAUUUAACAAUAAUUUUAAGAAAUAUUUUUUCUCUUUUUAAUACCGAAAGAUAAAAAAUUUCAAAAAUAACUGUCAAAUACACUAGAUACUCUAAAGUCAUUUCAAUUUUAAAGUUUUUCUUUUUAGAGUGUUAUUUUCAUAAUUACUACGUCAAAAAUCUACUUAUCAUUUAAUUAAUUUGAAUCCAUGAUGUAUGGUUGUGACACAAAUUCCUAGUCAACCGUGUGAUAUUAGAUACAUCUUCUUCAAAAAUAAGAAUCUCGCCGCCAGACCCGGCUAUGGGCCGUGGAACUUGCAAGCUAGUCAAGAGUCAUGCUCUCCGCCCAACAAGUCCUUUCAUAAAAAGUUAAAAAAAAAAAAAAAAAAACAUAUUUUUGAGGAUGGUGCUUUAAAAGGGUAAGAAUAAUUUAUUAAAAAAUUAUUUUUUAUUUUGUGUCAUGUACAAAAUUUUAAAUUAUUUUAUAUAUUUUUGUUUUUUUUUUUACUAAAAAUUUUGUUUUUUUAGAACAAAUUUAUAUAUUUUCUCAUGUGUUUUUUUUUUGUAAAGUUCUUGGAAACACAAAUAAAAAUAUGGACUUUAAUAUUUUUCAUAUAUAUAUAUAUAUAUAUAAUGCGAAGAAUAAUUUGAAAAAAUAGAUUUUACUUUUGAUAUGAAUGAGGAGUAUUUUUCAAAAUAUUUAUCCAUAACUAUUUUUUUAAAUCAUUGUCAACAAUUAAUUUUUAACAAUUAUUUUCAAAAAUCUUGUUUCUUUUUUUAUUCUUUAUUUUCAAAAAUAGUUACUUAGAGCAUGUUUGGCAGUGUAAUUUAAAAAUAAUUUUCGAUUAAGUGUCAUGCCCAAUUAACCCAAAGGUUGUCAGGCCCAACAAUUGGAUGGGCUUGGCCCAUUAAAUUUGGAGCCCAUCUCGAGCCCCAAUUCCAAGUCGGUUUGGGGUCAAAUUGAGAAAUAUUAAGAGUGAAAGGACUUUUAUAUAUACAAAAAUAAAAGAAAUUUUAAUUUCUCACCUUCUUCUCUCUCCGGCUCUAGGUAAAACCCUAUCCCUAAUGUUAGUACUCUUGAGAAAAUUUCUGAAAAAUAGUCAAGUAGUUGUAGGGAUUUUUAUUCGGAUUAAUCAGAUCAGUUUCAAGUGAGUUGAAAGUUUUGUUUUCUCGUCUCCCGAACAGUCAAAGAUCCGCAAAUGGAAAUUUUCUCUUCUUUUCCUAUAAGGCUUUUCAUAUUUGUUUGUGGCAUCGUAUUUGACAUUUGGUGUUGUUUUCCUGUGAAAUUCUCUCGGUUUUUCUCACUGAAACCUACCCUUCGUUUGGAUAUGGAGAGCCGUUUUCUGGUUAGAACGUAGCCACGUCGUUGUUUUGAUUGAAAAUGAUUCGUAUAAGUAGUAUUUCGCUAAUGACAUAUCCCUAUUUAUCACUAAAGCGAUUCUAGGUUUUUUUUUUUUUUUUUUCGUUUGUUUGAUGAUUUCUAGGGUUUCUGGUUCUUGUAUGGUUUUCUCAUGCUUCAUUUAUAAGUUUUUGCAAAUGGAAUUAUCAAAUAUAACUUAGAUUUUUUCGUUUUCCUUUCUGUUUGAGAUCAUAUGUAUGAAUAAUCUGAUAUUCUGAGUGUAUAGUGUUGUCUUUAUUCUUUGUAGAAAAAGAGAAAGAAGCAGAUUCACAUACUCCAUUUGUUCUUAAUGCUUUGUUGAUAGACUAAAUAAUUUAGUUGACUUUGCAUGUUGUUAUGCUUUUAUGUCUUUGAAACUAUAUCUUUUGAUACUGCUCGAUCUAUAGAGAUACCAUGGCAGUAGUCAAGAAAAAGUCUACUGUCUUAUUUAUAACUUGUUUGGAAUAUGGAAUUGCUCAGAUUUAAUAUGUGGGAAUGAAAAUUCGGGUUUAGCUUUAUUUCUUUGUCUCAACAACAACUGAUAGAAUUAUUACCAAGGUUUGAAAUAAUAUUGGAGAAAUAUCAAUGAAUAUUUUGACAAAAAUAUCGAUCUUGUCCAAAAUUAAUGAAAAUGCUUAAAAAACUUUCAAAAAAAUGAUAAAAUAAAGACGCAUUCACAUAUUAAAGUUAUUUUUAUAUGUAAUUGAUAUAAGUAUGAUUAAAAAUAUUAUUUAUCAAAUUUUAUAAAAAAAUUAGCUUAAAUUCCUUUAAUAUAUUCAAAUUCAGUUAUUUAAAAAUUUUAAAAAUACUUUUAUUGAAACUUGUUUUAUGACAUUUUAAAUAAAAAAUUAAAUUAAUUUAUAUAAAAUAUUUUAUUUGAGAUUUAAUUUCCAAAAUUUUAUUAUGGUGACAACCUAUUGUGGCAAUUUUUUAAAAUAGGAUUAAUGAGAUAAAUUAUGAUACAUAUAUGAUUUUUUUUUUUAAAUAUUUAUAUUUUUUAUAUUUAAUUAUCAUAUAAAUGAUAUAAAAAACUUGUUAAGAAAAUUAUAAUGAUUGCUUUAUAUUUUUAGUAAUCAAUUAAAUAAAAAUUAAAAUAAAAUAAUUAGAAUUAAUUUAUUUAUUAGAAUUUUGUUUUAAUAAGGAACUUUGAUAUAGUAAUAUGCAUGCCUAUUAACAAGGGCAAACUUGUCCCAGUGGUGGCCAUGCUGAAGUUCAAGUCUUUUGGCCAGGGUUUGAACCCCACGCUGCAGUGACAGUGAAAAAAUAAUUUUGAGGGGAGCUGUAGAACGAAAUAUCAGGAAAUUUCUUGAAAAAUCGGCAAAAAAGCUGAUAAAUGCCGGCGAUAACUUCAAAAAAAUAGCAAAAUUUCUCCCAACCAACUGAUAACCGAAAUAUCGGGGAAAUUUCACCGAUAAAAAUCGAACAUUUUAAACACUGAUUGUUACUUUAGUGUUUGGGCUAAGGUUAUCUUAUGUGAAAUUUGUUAUUGUCAGGUAUUGUGUGUGCUGCCAAUAGUGCCCAUCUGGUGGAAAAACCUAAGAACGUGCAGAUUGUUCUUUGUUAGACCAAAGUGUGCUGACUCGUGUUACUUUUCCUGUUUAUAAGCUCUGUUUUUUUUUUUUUAUUAGGAAUAAUGCUGGGUGCAUUGCCAAUCUUGCCCCUUCCAGCAACUCCCUCAGAUGGGAAUCUUGGCUCUCUUCCCCUAUCUCAGCUGCAGGUUCAGUUGCAACCCACACAGGGACCAUUGGAAUCAUACAUCCUCCUCCAGACAUUAGAAACAUUGUUGACAAGACUGCACGGUUUGUUGCAAAAAAUGGUCCUGAAUUUGAGAAAAGAAUCAUGGCAAAGUUCAGUUAAUUUUAAUUAUAUUUGAUUUUCUUUGGGAUUUUCCAUGGUGAAAUUAAACAUGAGAAAUUCAUUUAUUCAACAUUUUUUUUUCCUUAGUAUUUUCCUGGAACCAAACAUAGCCUUAGUGAAUUUGGUUACAAAUAUAGCUUCCUGUUACUUUUGAUCAUACUUUCCCUUCUAUCUGCAGUUGUGAAGGAUCUGAAGUAUGCUGACUCUCAUGAGUGGGUGAAAAUUGAUGGGAAUUCUGCUAUUGUGGGCAUAACCGACCAUGCUCAAGAUCAUUAAGUGAUGUUGUGUAUGUUGAGUUACCUGAAGCAGGGGCUGCUGUAACCCAGGGCAGCAGUUUUGGUGCAGUUGAAAGCGUGAAGGCCACAAGUGAUAUAAACUCUCCUGUUUCUGGAAAAGUGGUUGAAGUUAAUGAAGAGCUUAACAGCUCACCCGGUUUGCUGAGUCCUCAAAUGCUUGGUUAGUGUUUGUGAUAUUGCUUUCAAAUGAAUUGUUGAUAUUGUUUUAUAAUGAAUUAUUGAUGUUUUGGUAUCAAUUUCUUUUGUUCUUUUAUUUUUCUUAAUUUUGUAUGCAUAUGUGGGGGUGUUGGAUUGAUGACAUUUGUGCCUCAUUGAAUUGGUUCUUGGUGUUGUUUUUGUUAGGAAGAGAACCAAUUUGCACAAGUAAAUUAAAGAUUUUGGCAAACUUCCCAAUAAUGGUUAAGUUUCCCCAUUCAAAGGAGUGAUUUGAAACUCAGAUAAAUGUUGAACUGUUCAGACUGUUAGCCUGCCGCCAUUACCAUUUUUUCAAACUCCUCACUCCCAUCUUCCUUUUCUCUUUUCUGCAGUGUUCGAAUCCGAAAGGUGGCCCUUCCUUUUCUUUUAUUUUGUGCUUGUGUUUUUUCUAAAUUCAAUUUCCCAAACUAUGAUGAUUGGACAAUGGAGCCUAUAUCCAAUUCAAAAAAAUCACACCUCUUAGGUAUUUCAUCAUUUCGUUUUUGCUUGCAUUGAUUUUUGUGCAUUCCACUUCUACGUUCCUAAGGGUCACCCUUUUCUAGUUCCUUAUUUGUGGUUCUAAAACCCCUUUCAAAAUGGUUGGUCAAUAAUGAAAGGAUAAUGAGAUUUGCCCGACUGAUAAGCUCUUUCAGUGCUUCAUCUUGGGUUGUUCAGACAAUUUAUUGGUGCUCACUGGGCACUCCUGGAGGUGAUUGAACCUUUAGACUUGAACCAGUUUCUUUUGUGGGUCGUGAAAACAUUGUUUAGGAAUAACCAAAAGUAGAAAAUUGAGUUAGACUCAAAACUAAAUAAUUUAACAGAAAUUCCUCAUGAUACUGAGAGCUCUGAGCUCAAAUUCUGUAUCAUCAAUUAUACAAAAGAUAUGAUUAUCUCAUUAAACAGGUUUCAACUUGUGCUAAAUUGAUCUUACUUCCACUCUCUUUAGUUUUUAUAUUUGGUUUCUUGAUAUAAACGCAAAAAGGAAAGUGUUUUCCUCAUUAUUUAUAUUUGAUACCCCUUUCUUGAUUCAGGUUAAUGCGAGCCCAUAUGAAAAUGGGUGGAUUAUAAAGGUGGAGAUGAGUGACACCGGUGAAUUAAAUUCUUUGAUGGACUUAGAACAGUACACCAAGUUUUGUGAAGAAGAAGAUGCCAAGCAUUGAGUGAGGUACUCUAGGCAUCUUAUGGAAACUAGAAAGAGGAUUUUCAUGGACGAGUUAUUGUAUCUAAAAGGAAGCCAGAGAGUGGGCUUUGGUUCUUCUUGGCAUUUUUGUCCAUUGUGCUUUCAACUGUGCACUCCUUUUAUGUCUUUCCUUGCAAGCUAUGAAUUCUGGUGAUUUUGAACAGAAUAUUUCUGUCUAGAUUAAGAAUAAUUGUUCAUGUUGUCAUUUGAUCUCCCAUUGGCAUACUAACAAUUUUCGAAUUGAGAAUUUCUUCUUUUUGCUGAAGCCGUAUACCUCUCUGAGAAGUAUUCAAUUUCCUAUUAUCCAUGUGGGUGACUUUAAGUUCUGUUGGGCUUUAAAGCUGUUUGGUCUGUCGAUGGUCCUACUCUCACUAAGAAUAAGUUUUAAUUGUUAGUAUGAAUGGCUGUAAACCUGACAACAAUCUUGUUUCAUUGGGUUUCUAAAUGUCUUAUUUUACUGGCUUUCCA
RNAcentral lists this long non-coding RNA (18271 nucleotides) under Vitis vinifera (wine grape). RNAcentral's name for it is "long non-coding RNA (VVIN_LNC000021)". The record is from RNAcentral. Lineage: Eukaryota; Viridiplantae; Streptophyta; Magnoliopsida; Vitales; Vitaceae.